ACAGCAGUAGCCGCGGGAAUACGUAGGGUGCAAGCGUUAAUCGGAAUUACUGGGCGUAAAGCGUGCGCAGGCGGUUUGUUAAGACAGAUGUGAAAUCCCCGGGCUCAACCUGGGAACUGCAUUUGUGACUGGCAAGCUAGAGUAUGGCAGAGGGGGGUGGAAUUCCGCGUGUAGCAGUGAAAUGCGUAGAUAUGCGGAGGAACACCGAUGGCGAAGGCAGCCCCCUGGGCCAAUACUGACGCUCAUGCACGAAAGCGUGGGGAGCAAACAGGAUUAGAGACCCGCGUAGUCCCUGUCUCUUAUAC
RNAcentral lists this ribosomal RNA (305 nucleotides) under uncultured bacterium. Its description in RNAcentral is "partial 16S ribosomal RNA". It matches the Rfam family "Bacterial small subunit ribosomal RNA", at positions 506 to 807 of the family's 1533-position model. The record is from RNAcentral.